UAGAAUUGUUCGAAUCCAUACGGACACAUUCUUAAAAUCCGUAUCCACACCGGCAGGGCCCUUUUUUUCGGGGCCUUUGCCGUAGGGUUCCUUUCUUCUUUUCUCGCUCUUAGGAGGGGGAAGAGGGGGGAGGUUCCUGUCUGACCUUUGCCUAUAAUUUAUCUUUUGUCUGAACUUUUUUAUUUUAUUAUAAAGUAAAA
RNAcentral lists this unclassified non-coding RNA (200 nucleotides) under uncultured Calcarisporiella. Its description in RNAcentral is "sequence contains ITS1". The record is from RNAcentral. Lineage: Eukaryota; Fungi; Ascomycota.